This 529-nucleotide ribosomal RNA is filed under the name uncultured bacterium. RNAcentral's name for it is "bacterial SSU rRNA". It matches the Rfam family "Bacterial small subunit ribosomal RNA", at positions 18 to 518 of the family's 1533-position model. The record is from RNAcentral.
CCUGGCUUAGGACGAACGCUGGCGGCGUGCCUAAUACAUGCAAGUCGAACGGUCUUUCUAUGGAAGCUUGCUUCCACUGAGAAGAUAGUGGCGAACGGGUGAGUAACACGUGGGGUAACCUGCCCAUAAGAGGGGGGAUAACAUCCGGAAACGGGUGCUAAUACCGCAUAGUUUUCUUGAUCGCAUGAUUGAGAAAGGAAAGACGGCCUUUGUGCUGUCGCUUAUGGAUGGACCCGCGGCGUAUUAGUUAGUUGGUGAGGUAACGGCUCACCAAGACGAUGAUACGUAGCCGACCUGAGAGGGUGAUCGGCCACAUUGGGACUGAGACACGGCCCAAACUCCUACGGGAGGCAGCAGUAGGGAAUCUUCCGCAAUGGACGAAAGUCUGACGGAGCAACGCCGCGUGAGUGAAGAAAGGUUUUCGGAUCGUAAAACUCUGUUGUCAGAGAAGAACAAGUUGGAGAGUAACUGCUCCAGCCUUGACGGUAUCUGACCAGAAAGCCACGGCUAACUACGUGCCAGCCGCCGC